This 253-nucleotide ribosomal RNA is filed under the name uncultured bacterium. RNAcentral describes it as "partial 16S ribosomal RNA". It matches the Rfam family "Bacterial small subunit ribosomal RNA", at positions 524 to 776 of the family's 1533-position model. The record is from RNAcentral.
UACGUAGGGUCCAAGCGUUAAUCGGAAUUACUGGGCGUAAAGCGUGCGCAGGCGGUUUUGUAAGCCAGAUGUGAAAUCCCCGGGCUUAACCUGGGAAUGGCAUUUGGGACUGCAAGGCUAGAGUACGGCAGAGGAGACUAGAAUUCCUGGUGUAGCAGUGAAAUGCGUAGAUAUCAGGAGGAAUACCGAUGGCGAAGGCAGGUCUCUGGGUCGAUACUGACGCUCACGCACGAAAGCGUGGGGAGCAAACAGG